UGACAUGAUGAAUCCGAGAGAUCUGGAGUGCCCGAAAGGGAACCAUUACACAGGUGCUGCAUGGCUGUCGUCAGCUCGUGUCGUGAGAUGUUGGGUUAAGUCCCGCAACGAGCGCAACCCUUGUCAUUAGUUGCUACGAAAGAGCACUCUAAUGAGACUGCCGGUGACAAACCGGAGGAAGGUGGGGAUGACGUCAAGUCCUCAUGGCCCUUAUGGGUAGGGCUUCACACGUCAUACAAUGGUACAUACAGAGGGCCGCCAACCCGCGAGGGGGAGCUAAUCCCAGAAAGUGUAUCGUAGUCCGGAUUGUAGUCUGCAACUCGACUACAUGAAGUUGGAAUCGCUAGUAAUCGCGGAUCAGCAUGUCGCGGUGAAUACGUUCCCGGG
This 387-nucleotide ribosomal RNA is filed under the name uncultured bacterium. RNAcentral's name for it is "bacterial SSU rRNA". It matches the Rfam family "Bacterial small subunit ribosomal RNA", at positions 982 to 1378 of the family's 1533-position model. The record is from RNAcentral.